Molecule: long non-coding RNA, 843 nt
Organism: Cygnus atratus (black swan)
Lineage: Eukaryota; Metazoa; Chordata; Aves; Anseriformes; Anatidae
Exons: 2
Source: RefSeq, a predicted model, not a curated record
CUGUGCUUGUUUUUAUUGUGAAUCAUGGGAUUAUUUUUUUCUUUCCCUAUUUAGCUGUUGCUGACCAUUGGACAGUUCUCGAGAAUAAUUCUUUUUUUAAACUGAGUUUAUUAAGGGGAAGCAGGCAAACAAGGCUAAGUUAAUGUUCAGCUUCAGACAACGGGCACAUCUCGAGCUCGGGAGAAGGAGUCAUGUGGGCAAAACCCAAAUAUGCUUAAGUAAAUAAACAGAAGCAGCCGAUGGAGGAAGUCAGAGCCAGCACCGUGCAACUGAGCUUUGUUGUGGAUUGAGUUCCAGACCAAGUUCUACACUGGCACUGGGUUCAAGUUCCUCCCCUUCUCGUUCGAUGCCAUCCGCGAAGGGAAGUUUGACGACUAGAGAUCCCUCUGCUCCAGCAGUGUUAAGCAUCUGUGAUCUAUGGCUAGUACUGUCCCGUGUGUCUGAGUUGCAUGUACUCCUCCCCUAGUGAAAAUAACUUAUUGCAGCAGACUCGAGUGUUACCGCGGAAUUCCAAAGCCGAGAGCUUUGACGUUCUCGAGUAACGAGUGACACUGGAUCAAAGAAACUGCUCCUUCCUUAAGUUUACCACUGAAGAUACUAAGUGCAUGAAGUGUCAGUGUGGUGUGUAAUAGUGUCCUCCUCGUGUUGUGAGCUUCCUGGCAGGCUUAGCAGGGCAGCAUGAGAAAAAUGCAGCUACAGCUGAGUGGGCAUAAAAGCACACGGAGAAGAAAAGGCAACUGCAGCCUGCAUAAAGCUUGCUGCUCGGGAAAAGAGAUUUUUACAGGAAGCUUUACAUGUGGAUCUACGUGUCUCUGCCUCUGAUUAAAUUAUGAGCAACGGGCA